Molecule: long non-coding RNA, 702 nt
Organism: Engraulis encrasicolus (European anchovy)
Lineage: Eukaryota; Metazoa; Chordata; Actinopteri; Clupeiformes; Engraulidae
Exons: 3
Source: RefSeq, a predicted model, not a curated record
GGCCCGUGACGUAGUUUUCAGCGACGCGAGAUAGAAGCCACAACAGAGCAGUUAGCAUGUUGACAGUAGUUCCAGCCCAGCUAGCAUGUGUAAUCUAUAGUGGAUCAUUGUUGGCGUUUGAACGGCAAGCCGCCUGUGGUAUGCCACCUGUGUCCGACAUCGGACCACUGACGGUUACAAAACACACAAGGCAUCGGUGGAUUUUGGUUGGCAAUCCGACAUAGUGCACGAGUACUCUGCAGGGUCCAAACAGCGGCAUGCUACCUGACAAUCCAUCUGCGUGAGAGCCAGGUUACAUGCUACCACCAGCCCCUAGCACCAAUGGAGGAGGACCGCCUACUCAUUUGGUGCCAGCAUCGUUUGCAUCAGAUAAAUCACAACAAAGAUAUGGUGACCCAAGACCCACGGUUAUAUAAGGAGGUGUAUGAAGAAACGACAGCAUAGAGGACCCAGCACAUCCCCUCACAGAUUCCAUGCCUUUCAAAAUAUUAGAACAAGAUUUCAAGGCAUUUUCCUUAAAGAACUUGCAACAUUUCAGGAGUGCGUCACCAUUUGGGUUUUCAUUUUGUACAAUACAUCACCUAACACCAAGAACGCUACAUUUUGUAAGCUAUGUUUCUUGCAUUGCCAGUAACCAAUAUUUAAAAGAAAAAAGAAUGUGUAUAUAUACAUUGAUAUCUUAUUUGUCAUUAUUUACACUUU